RNAcentral lists this ribosomal RNA (465 nucleotides) under uncultured bacterium. Its description in RNAcentral is "partial 16S ribosomal RNA". It matches the Rfam family "Bacterial small subunit ribosomal RNA", at positions 28 to 507 of the family's 1533-position model. The record is from RNAcentral.
GACGAACGCUGGCGGCGUGCUUAACACAUGCCAGUCGAACGGAAAGGCCCUGCUUGCAGGGUACUCGAGUGGCGAACGGGUGAGUAACACGUGGGUGAUCUGCCCUGCACUUCGGGAUAAGCCUGGGAAACUGGGUCUAACACCGGAUAGGAGCCAUUUUUAGUGUGAUGGUUGGAAAGUUUUUUCGGUGUAGGAUGAGCUCGCGGCCUAUCAGCUUGUUGGUGGGGUAAUGGCCUACCAAGGCGGCGACGGGUAGCCGGCCUGAGAGGGUGGACGGCCACAUUGGGACUGAGAUACGGCCCAGACUCCUACGGGAGGCAGCAGUGGGGAAUAUUGCACAAUGGGCGCAAGCCUGAUGCAGCGACGCCGCGUGGGGGAUGACGGCCUUCGGGUUGUAAACUCCUUUCGCUAGGGACGAAGCUUUUUGUGACGGUACCUAGAUAAGAAGCACCGGCUAACUACGUG